RNAcentral lists this ribosomal RNA (310 nucleotides) under uncultured delta proteobacterium. RNAcentral describes it as "bacterial SSU rRNA". It matches the Rfam family "Bacterial small subunit ribosomal RNA", at positions 1051 to 1362 of the family's 1533-position model. Lineage: Bacteria; Deltaproteobacteria. The record is from RNAcentral.
GUCGUCAGCUCGUGUCGUGAGAUGUCGGUUAAGUCCGGCAACGAGCGCAACCCCUGUCUUCAGUUGCCAUCAUUUAGUUGGGCACUCUGGAGAGACUGCCGGUGACAAACCGGAGGAAGGUGGGGACGACGUCAAGUCCUCAUGGCCCUUAUGGUCGGGGCUACACACGAUACUACAAUGGGCACUACAAUGGGCAGCAAGACCGCGAGGUGGAGCAAAUCCCAAAAAAGUGUCCUCAGUUCGGAUUGGAGUCUGCAACUCGACUCCAUGAAGUUGGAAUUGCUAGUAAUCGCUGAUCAGCAUGCAGCGG